UGUAGAGCACAGGGAACUCUAUCCAGUCUCCUGGGAUAAACCCUAAUGGAAAAGAACAUUGACAAAAGAAUGGAUAUAUGUGUAUAACGGAGCCACUUGGCUUUAUGGCAGAGACUGGCACACCAUCGUAAGUCGACUGCACUUCAAUUUAAAAAAAAAGAUACAGGCCCCCGAGUCUGGAAAAAUCCACAGAAUGGACCUGCUGCUGCAGGGUCAACUUAGGGCAAAGUAGGGAGGUGGGGGACAGAGUUCUGGGGUGCAAGAACCCCCUCCCACCUGCUUGGGGGUCUCCAUCUGCUGCCCCUCCCUCUCCAGGCUGAGGAGCUUCGCGAUGGAUGGGGGAAGGGAGGCAAGACCCUCGCCCCUGAGCGUGGGAGGCUGGGGCCUGGGCUGCCUCUGCCCCCUCAGCCCCCACAACUGCUUUCCUCGGGGGACGCAUGCGCCUCGGGAGAAGACGUGGCUCCGCUUGGCAAGGCAUCGGGACGGUGCCUGUGCUGAGGUCAGAUCCUGGCUGCGCCGCCAGGGCUUCGGGACCGUCUGACACUUGGACAGGGUCUGAGGUGUGCUCAGGGACCCCAGGCCCAGUGUCCGCGUCACCCACAACCACAGGGACCCCCUCGGCCUCCCAUUUCUUCAGCCCUGCCGAGGGCGACGUGCUGGCUGCCAGGAAGAGGGGAGACCCCCAGACCCACCCCCAGGAAAGGCUCCCUCCACCGAGGGCCGCCCGCCCUCACCUCCAGUGCAGCCAGGCUCCCUGCCCUGCGCUCUGGUUCAAGUUCACGCUCUCCCCCGUGCCUGUGAGAGGUCUUCGCGGCGGGAGGGGCUGCCAGUGCCCCCUUGGGCCCCAGGGACCACCAAGGGUCUCUGAUGCUGAGGACCCAUCAGCUGGCCCUCCCGCGGCUUGGCCUCCGUGGCUGUGCUCUCCUGACGCCCAGCCUUUGGCUCAUUUGAGGCCACAGAACUUUCUAGACUGCAUUGGAAGGAGAGGGCAAAGCCAUAGGAAGGAGACUGUGGGCCUUGCUGUCUGCAUUUUCUAAGUAUCCUGAGAUAGUUAGCACAAAACAUUUCUUCUAAGGUUGCCAGCUCCAGGUAAGCUGACGCCAACCGUGCGUGCGUGCCUGGCCCUGAACCCUCGGACCAGCCGCCGGCUGUGCCCUGGCCCCUCUGUCCUCCCUCCCCGGCCUCUGUCGUGUUCCCUGUCCCCUGGCUUCUCUGCCCCACCGCUGUUUAAGGCUCUCCUGCAUCUGUCUCUCAUGACAGGGUGCAGAGGACACACCACUGCAUCUUAAUACAGACACGGUGUCCAAACUCAGAGUCACCCCGCAGGGGUAUCCUCUCUCUUACCUCAGCUGGCGUAAAUAUGAUGAGCUGAGAGCUAGUUAGAACCUUUACAGACGGUUGUAAUUAGAGCUGCACAAUUUGUGGAGAUGCAUGUUGUCGAGGAUUUGGGGGUCAUUUACCAUUGAAAAUUCUGCAUAUGCUAAUUAUAUUUUUCUCUCCCUCUUGGUUCCUUGGGGUUUUGUUGUCGUUGUUCUUUUUCUCAUUCUCUCUUUUUUCUGUAAUCACAAAAUCCACAGAGAGAAUACUGGAGUGAGCUGGUCAACUUUGCAAUACUUGGGCUUCCCGGCAACAACUUUGUGAAAAAGAAACGCAAACAGAUCAUCGGUUUGGGCCACAGGGAAGGAAGCCUGGCUGUGCUGCGUGCAGGACUCUGGGCCCAGGCGGAUUCUCAACCACUGCGCCACCAGGGAAGCCCCUGAGCACAUAGGUUUGACCUGGCGGCGGGAGGAGGCUGCGGUCUGAGUAGUUCAGGUCGCCCACGUGGGUGCCUCACACCUAUGCAACUGACCCCCAGUAAAACCCUGGACGCCAAGGUGCAUGAGCCUCCCUGGUUGGCAAUGCCCCACACGGGUUGUCACAAGCCGUUGCCAGAGAAUUAGCAGCGUCCGCAAGACUCCACUGGGAGAGACAGGGCGAGCUCAGCCUGCUGCCUCCUGGCCUCCUCUCCGCACUCCUCUCGCUUGUAGAUUCUCAUCUGCAUCCUUUCACUAUAAUAAACUGUAACCUCUGUGUCCUGUGAGUCUUUCUAGAGGGUCAUCAAACUUACAGGUGGUCUUGGGGACCCCGGCACAUCCUUCUCCCCAGAAACGUCCCCCACUGGAGCCUCCAUUAGAGCAGGAUUAAGAUGAUUCCUGCCCUUUAUGGGAGAAAGGGACCUUCUAAAAUUCUCAUAACAGGAUGGAUGGAUAGCUGUGAAGGGGAGGAAAAUGACGUCACCUCCUUUUGCUGCCACUAAGACUUGAGGUCCAGCAGAUCCAGCCCAGCCCUCGUCCCCAGCGUGAAUCCCAAGGGAGGGUGUUGGGCCUCUCGUCGCGGGUUCUAGGACAGUCAGAGCAGCGUGGUGCCCGUCCUGUUAACAGCCUCGGUGUUGCUCUCAAGCUGGGUUCCUACACUGAAGCCGCCCAUGGUGGUCGGCCGCUCGGAAGCCUGACGUCCCCACCGCCCAUGGGCCUCGUGCGAGGUCCUUCCUCUCUCUGGGCUCAGUUUCUCCACCUGAAGAAUGAGCAGCAGGGUUCCUGCCUCAAAGGGUAGAUGAAACCGUACGACCUUUGCGAAGCACAUGGUUCAGUGCCCAACAUGUCCGUGUUAGCACUGGAAAUGGUGUCAGGGGUACAGUCUCAGCCCUGAGCCCCAAUCAGCAGGGCUGGAAGCUGUCACACCCUCCCAGGUUACUCAGCUUCCACCGGCUUCUGUGCCACCUGCGAGACGGGGACGGUAACAGCUCCUGCACAGCACUGCUGUUGGGGGCCAUGAACCCCGACACACACCUGAGACGAAGUGCAUCUCCAAUAAAAGCCGGCUGUCGUUAUCCAAGUUCUAGGGGGCACAAGUCAAGUGUCUUAGCAUCAAGUUCCUCACCUAGGAAACCAGGAACACGCCCACUACUCACCUGGUCUUUGUGGGGCUGGGUGAAGCUUAGCCCACGCCUGCCUGGCUCCAGGACCCUCGUCCCCAGGGUGGGCCUGGGGGAGGGGUUGCCACCUGGGAGGAUGCUCCAGGGGUGGGGACUAUGGGGCAGAGCCCUCGAUGGCAAUCCCAGGUCUCUCUCUGAGCGGGUCACUGGAAGCACCUGAAGUCCACCCUGCCCUGGACUUUUCACUUGCAAGAGGUCGUAAAUUAUCAUUAUCAUUAAAGCCCGUUCGAGGCGAUGCUUCUAUUACUUGUAGCCUCAAACUCCCUGAUUAAUGCUAGUACUAUCCUUAUUUCACAGGUGAGAAAACUGAGGCUCAGAGAGAUCAGGUGACAGGCCCUGCAAGGCAGAGCAGGUGCCUUCAGCCUCAACAGCACCCUGACUCCUACAGUCCCUGCUACCUUGUGAGGUGCAAACUCUAUUGCCUGGGCUGAGGAACCCCAAGCCAAGCCCUUACUGUCCAUUU
Molecule: non-coding RNA, 3437 nt
Organism: Delphinapterus leucas (beluga whale)
Lineage: Eukaryota; Metazoa; Chordata; Mammalia; Artiodactyla; Monodontidae
Source: RefSeq, a predicted model, not a curated record